RNAcentral lists this ribosomal RNA (2920 nucleotides) under Bacillus toyonensis biovar Thuringiensis MC28. Its description in RNAcentral is "bacterial LSU rRNA". It matches the Rfam family "Bacterial large subunit ribosomal RNA". The record is from RNAcentral. Lineage: Bacteria; Bacillati; Bacillota; Bacilli; Caryophanales; Bacillaceae.
UUAAGUUAGAAAGGGCGCACGGUGGAUGCCUUGACACUAGGAGUCGAUGAAGGACGGGACUAACGCCGAUAUGCUUCGGGGAGCUGUAAGUAAGCUUUGAUCCGAAGAUUUCCGAAUGGGGAAACCCACCAUACGUAAUGGUAUGGUAUCCUUAUCUGAAUACAUAGGGUAAGGAAGACAGACCCAGGGAACUGAAACAUCUAAGUACCUGGAGGAAGAGAAAGCAAAUGCGAUUUCCUGAGUAGCGGCGAGCGAAACGGAACAUAGCCCAAACCAAGAGGCUUGCCUCUUGGGGUUGUAGGACAUUCUAUACGGAGUUACAAAGGAACGAGGUAGACGAAGCGACCUGGAAAGGUCCGUCGUAGAGGGUAACAACCCCGUAGUCGAAACUUCGUUCUCUCUUGAAUGUAUCCUGAGUACGGCGGAACACGUGAAAUUCCGUCGGAAUCUGGGAGGACCAUCUCCCAAGGCUAAAUACUCCCUAGUGAUCGAUAGUGAACCAGUACCGUGAGGGAAAGGUGAAAAGCACCCCGGAAGGGGAGUGAAAGAGAUCCUGAAACCGUGUGCCUACAAAUAGUCAGAGCCCGUUAACGGGUGAUGGCGUGCCUUUUGUAGAAUGAACCGGCGAGUUACGAUCCCGUGCGAGGUUAAGCUGAAGAGGCGGAGCCGCAGCGAAAGCGAGUCUGAAUAGGGCGUUUAGUACGUGGUCGUAGACCCGAAACCAGGUGAUCUACCCAUGUCCAGGGUGAAGUUCAGGUAACACUGAAUGGAGGCCCGAACCCACGCACGUUGAAAAGUGCGGGGAUGAGGUGUGGGUAGCGGAGAAAUUCCAAUCGAACCUGGAGAUAGCUGGUUCUCCCCGAAAUAGCUUUAGGGCUAGCCUUAAGUGUAAGAGUCUUGGAGGUAGAGCACUGAUUGGACUAGGGGUCCUCAUCGGAUUACCGAAUUCAGUCAAACUCCGAAUGCCAAUGACUUAUCCUUAGGAGUCAGACUGCGAGUGAUAAGAUCCGUAGUCAAAAGGGAAACAGCCCAGACCGCCAGCUAAGGUCCCAAAGUGUGUAUUAAGUGGAAAAGGAUGUGGAGUUGCUUAGACAACUAGGAUGUUGGCUUAGAAGCAGCCACCAUUUAAAGAGUGCGUAAUAGCUCACUAGUCGAGUGACUCUGCGCCGAAAAUGUACCGGGGCUAAAUACACCACCGAAGCUGCGGAUUGAUACCAAUGGUAUCAGUGGUAGGGGAGCGUUCUAAGGACAGUGAAGUCAGACCGGAAGGACUGGUGGAGUGCUUAGAAGUGAGAAUGCCGGUAUGAGUAGCGAAAGACGGGUGAGAAUCCCGUCCACCGAAUGCCUAAGGUUUCCUGAGGAAGGCUCGUCCGCUCAGGGUUAGUCAGGACCUAAGCCGAGGCCGACAGGCGUAGGCGAUGGACAACAGGUUGAUAUUCCUGUACCACCUCUUUAUCGUUUGAGCAAUGGAGGGACGCAGAAGGAUAGAAGAAGCGUGCGAUUGGUUGUGCACGUCCAAGCAGUUAGGCUGAUAAGUAGGCAAAUCCGCUUAUCAUAAAGGCUGAGCUGUGAUGGGGAAGCUCCUUAUGGAGCGAAGUUUUUGAUUCCCCGCUGCCAAGAAAAGCUUCUAGCGAGAUAAAAGGUGCCUGUACCGCAAACCGACACAGGUAGGCGAGGAGAGAAUCCUAAGGUGUGCGAGAGAACUCUGGUUAAGGAACUCGGCAAAAUGACCCCAUAACUUCGGGAGAAGGGGUGCUUUCUUAACGGAAAGCCGCAGUGAAUAGGCCCAAGCGACUGUUUAGCAAAAACACAGCUCUCUGCGAAGCCGUAAGGCGAAGUAUAGGGGGUGACACCUGCCCGGUGCUGGAAGGUUAAGGAGAGGGGUUAGCGUAAGCGAAGCUCUGAACUGAAGCCCCAGUAAACGGCGGCCGUAACUAUAACGGUCCUAAGGUAGCGAAAUUCCUUGUCGGGUAAGUUCCGACCCGCACGAAAGGUGUAACGAUUUGGGCACUGUCUCAACCAGAGACUCGGUGAAAUUAUAGUACCUGUGAAGAUGCAGGUUACCCGCGACAGGACGGAAAGACCCCGUGGAGCUUUACUGUAGCCUGAUAUUGAAUUUUGGUACAGUUUGUACAGGAUAGGCGGGAGCCAUUGAAACCGGAGCGCUAGCUUCGGUGGAGGCGCUGGUGGGAUACCGCCCUGACUGUAUUGAAAUUCUAACCUACGGGUCUUAUCGACCCGGGAGACAGUGUCAGGUGGGCAGUUUGACUGGGGCGGUCGCCUCCUAAAGUGUAACGGAGGCGCCCAAAGGUUCCCUCAGAAUGGUUGGAAAUCAUUCGUAGAGUGCAAAGGCAUAAGGGAGCUUGACUGCGAGACCUACAAGUCGAGCAGGGACGAAAGUCGGGCUUAGUGAUCCGGUGGUUCCGCAUGGAAGGGCCAUCGCUCAACGGAUAAAAGCUACCCCGGGGAUAACAGGCUUAUCUCCCCCAAGAGUCCACAUCGACGGGGAGGUUUGGCACCUCGAUGUCGGCUCAUCGCAUCCUGGGGCUGUAGUCGGUCCCAAGGGUUGGGCUGUUCGCCCAUUAAAGCGGUACGCGAGCUGGGUUCAGAACGUCGUGAGACAGUUCGGUCCCUAUCCGUCGUGGGCGUAGGAAAUUUGAGAGGAGCUGUCCUUAGUACGAGAGGACCGGGAUGGACGCACCGCUGGUGUACCAGUUGUUCUGCCAAGGGCAUAGCUGGGUAGCUAUGUGCGGAAGGGAUAAGUGCUGAAAGCAUCUAAGCAUGAAGCCCCCCUCAAGAUGAGAUUUCCCAUAGCGUAAGCUAGUAAGAUCCCUGAAAGAUGAUCAGGUUGAUAGGUUCGAGGUGGAAGCAUGGUGACAUGUGGAGCUGACGAAUACUAAUAGAUCGAGGACUUAACCAU